Pelobates cultripes (western spadefoot toad) is the source of this 89-nucleotide non-coding RNA. The record is from the annotation of a GenBank genome assembly. Lineage: Eukaryota; Metazoa; Chordata; Amphibia; Anura; Pelobatidae.
AUAUAUAUAUAUAGAGAGAGAGAGAGAGAGAGAUAUCUAAAAAAAUUUUUUAUUUAGAUAUCUCUCUCUCUCUCUCUCUAUAUAUAUAU